AAACAUGUCUUUUUGAAAAUAAUUUAAAGUCUAAUCUGCCCACUGAUNAAAUUAUUAAAGGGCUGCAGUAUUUUGACUGUACAAAGGUAGCAUAAUCAUUAGUCUCUUAAUUGGUGACUUGUAUGAAAGAUUGGAUGAGAUAUAUACUGUCUCUAUUUAAUUUAUAAAAUUUAAUUUUUUAGUAAAAAAGCUAAAAUUAUUUUAAAAGACGAGAAGACCCUAUAGAGUUUUAUAAUUUAUUUAAUUAUUAUUAAUAUGUAAAUUUUAAAAUUAAAAUUAAAUAAAUUAUUUUGUUGGGGUGAUAGAAAAAUUAAAUUAACUUUUUUUUUAUUGUAUACAUUAAUUUAUGAGUAAAUGAUCCAUUAAUAAUGAUUAAAAGAAAAAAUUACCUUAGGGAUAACAGCGUAAUUUUUUUUUUUAGUUCAAAUAGGAAAAAAAGUUUGCGACCUCGAUGUUGGAUUAAGAUAAAAUUUAAAUGCAAAAGUUUAAAAUUUUGAUCUGUUCGAUCAUUAAAAUCUUA
This 520-nucleotide ribosomal RNA is filed under the name Papilio lorquinianus esmeae. RNAcentral's name for it is "partial 16S ribosomal RNA". It matches the Rfam family "Bacterial large subunit ribosomal RNA", at positions 1811 to 2598 of the family's 2925-position model. Lineage: Eukaryota; Metazoa; Arthropoda; Insecta; Lepidoptera; Papilionidae. The record is from RNAcentral.